GACGAACGCUGGCGGCGUGCUUAACACAUGCAAGUCGAACGGAAAGGCCCUGCUUUUGUGGGGUGCUCGAGUGGCGAACGGGUGAGUAACACGUGAGUAACCUGCCCUUGACUUUGGGAUAACUUCAGGAAACUGGGGCUAAUACCGGAUAGGAGCUCCUGCUGCAUGGUGGGGGUUGGAAAGUUUCGGCGGUUGGGGAUGGACUCGCGGCUUAUCAGCUUGUUGGUGGGGUAGUGGCUUACCAAGGCUUUGACGGGUAGCCGGCCUGAGAGGGUGACCGGCCACAUUGGGACUGCGAUACGGCCCAGACGCCUACGGGAGGCAGCAGUGGGGAAUAUUGCACAAUGGGCGGAAGCCUGAUGCAGCAACGCCGCGUGCGGGAUGACGGCCUUCGGGUUGUAAACCGCUUUCGCCUGUGACGAAGCGUGAGUGACGGUAAUGGGUAAAGAAGCACCGGCUAACUACGUG
This 468-nucleotide ribosomal RNA is filed under the name uncultured bacterium. RNAcentral describes it as "partial 16S ribosomal RNA". It matches the Rfam family "Bacterial small subunit ribosomal RNA", at positions 28 to 507 of the family's 1533-position model. The record is from RNAcentral.